Molecule: ribosomal RNA, 492 nt
Filed under: uncultured bacterium
Lineage: Bacteria
Description: partial 16S ribosomal RNA
Rfam family: Bacterial small subunit ribosomal RNA
Source: RNAcentral
AGUGAACGCUGGCGGUAGGCUUAACACAUGCAAGUCGAACGGCAGCACAGUAAGAGUUUGCUCUUCCGGGGGGCGAGUGGCGGACGGGUGAGGAAAACAUCGGAACCUACUUUUUCGUGGGGGUUAACGUAGGGAAACUUACGCUCAUACCGCAUACGCCCUACGGGUGAAAGCAGGGGAUCUUCGGACCUUGCGCGAUUGAAUGAGCCGAUGUUGGUUUAGCUAGUUGGCGGGGUAAAGGCCCACCAAGGCGACGAUCCGUAGCUGGUCUGAGAGGAUGAUCAGCCACACUGGAACUGAGACACGGUCCAGACUCCUACGGGAGGCAGCAGUGGGGAAUAUUGGACAAUGGGCGCAAGCCUGAUCCAGUCAUACCGCGUGGGUGAAGAAGGCCUUCGGGUUGUAAAGCCCUUUUGUUGGGAAAGAAAAGCAGCAGGUUAAUACCCCGCUGUUCUGACGGUACCCAAAGAAUAAGCACCGGCUAACUUCGUG